This 72-nucleotide transfer RNA is filed under the name Caulobacter phage CcrBL10. It matches the Rfam family "tRNA". Rfam says of the family: Transfer RNA (tRNA) molecules are approximately 80 nucleotides in length. RNAcentral also lists the same sequence under 4 other names. Lineage: Duplodnaviria; Heunggongvirae; Uroviricota; Caudoviricetes; Jeanschmidtviridae. The record is from Rfam by way of RNAcentral.
GCAUCCGUAGUAUAUAGGUGAUUACAGCGCGUUGCCAACGCGUAGAGUCGGGUUCGAGUCCCGACGGAUGCU